Molecule: ribosomal RNA, 497 nt
Filed under: uncultured bacterium
Lineage: Bacteria
Description: partial 16S ribosomal RNA
Rfam family: Bacterial small subunit ribosomal RNA
Source: RNAcentral
GAUGAACGCUGGCGGCGUGCCUAAUACAUGCAAGUCGAGCGAACAGAUAAGGAGCUUGCUCCUUUGACGUUAGCGGCGGACGGGUGAGUAACACGUGGGUAACCUACCUAUAAGACUGGAAUAACUCCGGGAAACCGGGGCUAAUGCCGGAUAACAUUUAGAACCGCAUGGUUCUAAAGUGAAAGAUGGUUUUACUAUCACUUAUAGAUGGACCCGCGCCGUAUUAGAUAGUUGGUAAGGUAACGGCUUACCAAGGCAACGAUACGUAGCCGACCUGAGAGGGUGAUCGGCCACACUGGAACUGAGACACGGUCCAGACUCCUACAGGAGGCAGCAGUAGGGAAUCUUCCGCAAAGGGCGAAAGCCUGACGGAGCAACGCCGCGUGAGUGAUGAAGGUCUUCGGAUCGUAAAACUCUGUUAUUAGGGAAGAACAAAUGUGUAAGUAACUGUGCACGUCUUGACGGUACCUAAUCAGAAAGCCACGGCUAACUACGUG